UGUCUAUGGUGUGCACAGAGAAGGUUUCUCUGUAUUUUCCAUUAAUAAGAUAAUUUCCCCGGUUGCGGUCAUUCAAUGAGAGAUGUCAGUAAGUUGACUAUUGUUUGUUUUGACAACAUUGGCCCUGUAGGACAAGCUGGCGGACCCCUCCCACCCUCUCAAGCAAGCAGUGAAAGCCCUGCAGGACAAGCUGGCGUACUCCUCCCAUUGUCUCCAUCGGCCCAGUUCAGCACCACCUUCCAGACAGCAAGCAGUGAAAGUCUUACAGGACAAGCUGUCGGACCAUUCUCACACUCUCCAUCAAGCGACAGGCCAAUCUUCCCCCCAGAAGUGUUACAACAAAUUAUUGGAGAAACACUGUGUCUUGAUAUGUCUAUGCUAGGUGUUUUUAACAGAGUAUCAAAAUCUUGCUGUACUGUCUGUCCACUAGCCACCUUUUACCACUGUCUUACUGCUUCACUGUUUGCAUGCUAUAUUAGCACAUAUGCAUAACCCCUCCCUCAAUCCCACAGCCGGAUUGUGGCCACACUUAUACCUUUACUUAAUACGUAAUGCUUUAUAAUCAAUACUCGUAUAAAGGCUGUAACCCUAUUACGUCAACCCAUUCUUGCACUGAUAUAGUUUUUCUAUAGUCUUUUUUAUAUUACCUUGUCUACUCUCUUA
Alosa sapidissima (American shad) is the source of this 663-nucleotide long non-coding RNA. RefSeq lists it as uncharacterized. The transcript has 4 exons. The record is from RefSeq and is a predicted model, not a curated record. NCBI's taxonomy places the organism in Eukaryota, Metazoa, Chordata, Actinopteri, Clupeiformes, Clupeidae.